This 258-nucleotide ribosomal RNA is filed under the name uncultured bacterium. RNAcentral describes it as "partial 16S ribosomal RNA". It matches the Rfam family "Bacterial small subunit ribosomal RNA", at positions 76 to 334 of the family's 1533-position model. The record is from RNAcentral.
UCUUGCAAAGACGAUGGCGACCGGCGCACGGGUGAGUAACACGUAUCCAACCUGCCGAUAACUCGGGGAUAGCCUUUCGAAAGAAAGAUUAAUAUCCGAUAGUAUAUUAAAACCGCAUGGUUUUACUAUUAAAGAAUUUCGGUUAUCGAUGGGGAUGCGUUCCAUUAGUUUGUUGGCGGGGUAACGGCCCACCAAGACUACGAUGGAUAGGGGUUCUGAGAGGAAGGUCCCCCACAUUGGAACUGAGACACGGUCCAA